This 233-nucleotide unclassified non-coding RNA is filed under the name Hevea brasiliensis (rubber tree). Lineage: Eukaryota; Viridiplantae; Streptophyta; Magnoliopsida; Malpighiales; Euphorbiaceae. The record is from RNAcentral.
GCUUGUUAACCUUGUGCCUUGGAAGGGGGUUGACCUGCAUCUCAAACAUGUUCAAGCUCUAGGUGUCUAUGGCUGGAGUGGCAUAGGUGAAAUAAUAGUAGGUGAAUGGUUGGAAGAUAUAUCCCAAAAUCAGAUUCAUAAACUAUUGAAAGGCCUUCCUCCUAUUCGGUCAUUGGUAGCUGUUGGUUCUAGUGCAGCAAAGUUGGUUUCUCUGCCUGUGAAGAGUUACAAGA